AGUACAUAAUGUGAAAGCAUGUUAGGCCCAGAGCUCAGACGUGGGAGUCUGCGAGAGAAUGGCAGCUCCAAGAUGAAGGCAGGAAUGUGAGAUGCCAGCUCCUUCAGGAUUGAACAGCUUUAUAUAAACUAACAGAGAGGGCAAGUUUAUGAAGUGGAGACAGGAUCUAAUUCUGUACUCAGAAUCUGCCAUCUGCUGAUCCCAAGGUUUUAUAUGAGGUGCAAGGUGCCCAUACUGGAGGCCUGAGCUCAGCCUUUUGGGGUCAUGACAGCCAUGAACCAGAGCAAGCUCCAGUUUGAUGGAUGAGGCUGACUUCUGUUGGACUUUGCAGCACAGGU
Long non-coding RNA from Zonotrichia albicollis (white-throated sparrow), 338 nucleotides. RefSeq lists it as uncharacterized. NCBI's taxonomy places the organism in Eukaryota, Metazoa, Chordata, Aves, Passeriformes, Passerellidae. The record is from RefSeq and is a predicted model, not a curated record.